This 325-nucleotide long non-coding RNA is filed under the name Lepisosteus oculatus (spotted gar). Its description in RNAcentral is "lncRNA (ENSLOCG00000021605.1)". Lineage: Eukaryota; Metazoa; Chordata; Actinopteri; Semionotiformes; Lepisosteidae. The record is from RNAcentral.
GGUAGCUAAAGAACUGGCUUGCAGCAUCAUUUUUCAUGAAUGAUUGCUCAGUCAGUGCAUGUAAAUCAAGGUGGUUUCUGUCAGUUACAAAGGCUUGAGACAGGGCCAUGAUAUUGAGUAUUUUGUAAUUGCUAGACUGGCCUCUUAUAAUAUUUCUGGCAUUCAUCUGCUUGGCUGAAGGGAUCGUAGGCUCCGCACACGGACAAGACUAACAGGUGGAGCGAGCCAAGGUGUUUUUCCGAAAUGCCAGUGAUGUGCAGCAGAGUGCACAAUGGCAUCGACCUUCAGAGCUGUAACAUACAAAAAAUCUGUUUCUAUACUUGUG